RNAcentral lists this transfer RNA (87 nucleotides) under Gammaproteobacteria bacterium. Its description in RNAcentral is "tRNA-Leu". It matches the Rfam family "tRNA". From Rfam's summary of the family: Transfer RNA (tRNA) molecules are approximately 80 nucleotides in length. Their secondary structure includes four short double-helical elements and three loops (D, anti-codon, and T loops). The record is from RNAcentral. RNAcentral also lists the same sequence under 1 other name. Lineage: Bacteria; Pseudomonadati; Pseudomonadota; Gammaproteobacteria.
GCCCCGGUGGCGGAAUUGGUAGACGCAGCGGAUUCAAAAUCCGCCGCUGGUAACAGCAUGGGAGUUCGAUUCUCCCCCGGGGCACCA